GGAAAACCCACCCCGGCCCGACUCUUCCCCAACCUCCCUCUCCCCGCGUCUGAACCCCGCAACCGCCGCCACGCCCACUCCCCAAACCUCCCCGCUGCGACGCGCCCUCGCCGGACCUCCCCGCCGCCACGCGCCCUCCCAAGGAACCCCCACCGUCGCGCGCCAUCCCCACGCCCCGCCCACUACCUCGCGCCCCGCCUCCCCCUCCCCCUCCCCGCCUCCCUCCCCUGCCUUCUUCCCCGGCACCGUCUCGGGCCUCCGCGCGAAGCCGCUGCCGCAUCCCGAUCCACCUGCCGACGACGCCCACGCCCUCGCACCGCCUAGUCCCCGCUGCUGUGGACCACCCCUCACUAGACCCGCUGCGUGCCACCCCGAUGCCUGAACCGGACCCCGCGCCGCCCAGCGCCAGGAAUCGGCAUCGUCCCACUACAGCCGCUCCGCCGCGGCCCGGAUCCGGCCGGCACCGCCCGUGCACGACCUGGAUCUGGCGACGACUCCCCGCUCCUGCCCUGGGCUCUCUUUCUCCGUCGAUCCUCCACUCCCUGCGAGCAGACGGCCCUCCUCCCAGCGCUCCUCCUCCGACACCCCACCCAGCCCAACGCUCCACCGACGAUGCCCCCACCCCUCCUAGUGCUCAACCGGCGCCGCCCCUGUGAAGGACGGCCGUGGCAUUCCAGUCGAGCCACGCGGCUCUUCUUCAGCAUCAAGUUACAAGAGGAGCUCCUUCGUUCUCUUUGCUUAUCUUGAUUUUCUUGGGUCAUCCAGAUUUUACUCAUCGGCAGGUCAAGCAGAGUUCUCGUGGCAGGUCGAACAAAAGAUGCCCCUGGCGCCAUUUCUGCUAGUCGCCAUCCCCAGCUGCGGCACCUUCUGUUCCUGUUGUCACCACAAAAACAGAGCACACAAAAAGACGCGGGUGCUAGUCAUCGUCCACCUCCUCAAUCACCUCUGUGCUUCUUGAGAGUUAGUUGCUGCUUUCCAUGGCCAUAUCCACGCAAUUUGUUGUUUUGCCCAACCACUUAUAUAUGUGUGCAUGUUUCCAUUUUUGCCAAAUUGUAUUCUCGUGAGCUUUUGUUUUGAAAAAAAAUGUGCAUGUGAACAUGAGAAAAAAGUAUGUACAGAGAAGUUCAUGUAUUACUUCUCAUAAGGUUCACGUAUUACUAAGUGUGUGCACAUAUAAUUUCCCUCUCCA
Molecule: long non-coding RNA, 1189 nt
Organism: Triticum urartu
Lineage: Eukaryota; Viridiplantae; Streptophyta; Magnoliopsida; Poales; Poaceae
Source: RefSeq, a predicted model, not a curated record